CAAAUGCUAAGUUAGUUAUCACAAAUAUAAUUGCUGUAGAUCUUUAGAUGUAUGUUAACCCCAAAGAUUGAUUUUGAUGAAUAAUAAAAUACUUUAAUAUAUAUUUUGGACUAAUGAUUUCCUUAAGACUAUGUUUCAGGAAAGUUGUAGAGUAUCAAGAAAGUAAUUUUUAAAAAUACAAUCAAAAAUAAAUAAAAAAAUCUGAAAGCUUUUGAGUGUGCAUACAUUUAAAAUAAAGCUGG
RNAcentral lists this long non-coding RNA (242 nucleotides) under Elaeis guineensis (African oil palm). RNAcentral describes it as "long non-coding RNA (EGUI_LNC032107)". Lineage: Eukaryota; Viridiplantae; Streptophyta; Magnoliopsida; Arecales; Arecaceae. The record is from RNAcentral.